RNAcentral lists this ribosomal RNA (1210 nucleotides) under Coxiella endosymbiont of Ornithodoros capensis. RNAcentral's name for it is "bacterial SSU rRNA". It matches the Rfam family "Bacterial small subunit ribosomal RNA", at positions 209 to 1412 of the family's 1533-position model. Lineage: Bacteria; Pseudomonadati; Pseudomonadota; Gammaproteobacteria; Legionellales; Coxiellaceae. The record is from RNAcentral. RNAcentral also lists the same sequence under 1 other name.
GACCUCGCGCUAUAAGAUGAGCCUACGUCGGAUUAGCUUGUUGGUGGGGUAAUGGCUUACCAAGGCGACAAUCCGUAGCUGGUCUGAGAGGAUGGCCAGCCACACUGGGACUGAGACACGGCCCAGACUCCUACGGGAGGCAGCAGUGGGGAAUAUUGGACAAUGGGGGAAACCCUGAUCCAGCAAUGCCGCGUGUGUGAAGAAGGCCUUCGGGUUGUAAAGCACUUUCGGUGGGGAAGAAAUUCUCAAGGGUAAUAUCCUUGGGCAUUGACGUUACCCACAGAAGAAGCACUGGCUAACUCUGUGCCAGCAGCCGCGGUAAUACAGAGAGUGCAAGCGUUAAUCGGAAUCACUGGGCGUAAAGCGCGCGUAGGUGGAUAUUUAAGUCGGAUGUGAAAGCCCUGGGCUUAACCUAGGAAUUGCACCCGAUACUGGAUAUCUUGAGUAUGGUAGAGGGAAGUGGAAUUUCCGGUGUAGCGGUGAAAUGCGUAGAUAUCGGAAAGAACACCAGUGGCGAAGGCGACUUCCUGGACCAAUACUGACACUGAGGCGCGAAAGCGUGGGGAGCAAACAGGAUUAGAGACCCUGGUAGUCCACGCCGUCAACGAUGAGAACUAGCUGUUGGGAAGUUUACUUCUUAGUAGCGAAGUUAACGCGUUAAGUUCUCCGCCUGGGGAGUACGGCCGCAAGGUUAAAACUCAAAGAAAUUGACGGGGGCCCGCACAAGCGGUGGAGCAUGUGGUUUAAUUCGAUGCAACGCGAAAAACCUUACCUACCCUUGACAUCCUCGGAACUUGUCAGAGAUGAUUUGGUGCCUUCGGGAACCGAGUGACAGGUGCUGCAUGGCUGUCGUCAGCUCGUGUCGUGAGAUGUUGGGUUAAGUCCCGUAACGAGCGCAACCCUCGUCCUUAGUUGCCAGCGAGUCAUGUCGGGAACUCUAAGGAGACUGCCGGCGAUAAACCGGAGGAAGGUGGGGAUGAUGUCAAGUCAUCAUGGCCCUUACGGGUAGGGCUACACACGUGCUACAAUGGGCAGUACAAAGGGUUGCCAAACCGCGAGGUGGAGCUAAUCCCAGAAAACUGCUCGUAGUCCGGAUUGGAGUCUGCAACUCGACUCCAUGAAGUUGGAAUCGCUAGUAAUCGCGAAUCAGCAUGUCGCGGUGAAUACGUUCUCGGGCCUUGUACACACCGCCCGUCACACCAUGGGAGUG